Molecule: ribosomal RNA, 440 nt
Filed under: uncultured bacterium
Lineage: Bacteria
Description: bacterial SSU rRNA
Rfam family: Bacterial small subunit ribosomal RNA
Source: RNAcentral
CCUACGGGAGGCAGCAGUGGGGAAUAUUGCACAAUGGGGGAAACCCUGAUGCAGCGACGCCGCGUGCGGGAUGACGGCCUUCGGGUUGUAAACCGCUUUCAGCACCGACGAAGUUGACGGUAGGUGCAGAAGAAGCGCCGGCUAACUACGUGCCAGCAGCCGCGGUAAUACGUAGGGCGCAAGCGUUGUCCGGAAUUAUUGGGCGUAAAGAGCUCGUAGGCGGCUUGUCGCGUCGGAUGUGAAAGCCCAUGGCUUAACUGUGGGUCUGCAUCCGAUACGGGCAGGCUAGAGGCAGGUAGGGGAGAACGGAAUUCCCGGUGUAGCGGUGAAAUGCGCAGAUAUCGGGAGGAACACCGGUGGCGAAGGCGGUUCUCUGGGCCUGUACUGACGCUGAGGAGCGAAAGCGUGGGGAGCGAACAGGAUUAGAUACCCGAGUAGUC